ACCUUUUUCCCCCCUCUCCCCUUGAGCUCCCUGGGAUUUGCUGUUGCCAUGGAAACCAGAGGGCCGGCCCCCAGGCUUUUAAGAGGCCUUCCUCCUCCCUUUUCCUUUGCAGAGGCCUCCUUCUCCACGGCAUUGGGACCACCAUUCAUUCUUUAAACAGUUAUGUGUUACAUUUAGACAGAUUAAAACAAAGCCUACAUACAAACAUACCAAAAACAAACCCCCCACAUCAACAGCAACAAAAGAUGAUGGGCCCUUCCAGAUAGGCCCUAUAUCCCAGGAUCUGAUGCCUGGUUUUCUGCCUUAAACUGUAUUACAGUAGAGUCUCACUUAUCCAACCCUCAUUUAUCCAACAUUCUGGAUUAUCCAACACAUUUUAGUAGUCAAUGUUGAAAACAUUGUUGUCAAUGUUGCAUUGUGAUAUUUUGGUGCUAAAUUUGUAAAUACAGUAAUUACUACAUAGCAUUAAUAAUAAUAAUAAAUAAUUAUAAAAUUUUAUUUAUACCCCGCCACCAUCUCCCUAUGGGGACUCGGGGCGGCUUACAUGGGGCCAUGCCCAGAAUAGUACAAUAUAACAACAUAUAGAAGUACAACACAUCACAACACAGUGAACAAUACAAUAGAUAAUAAUAUACAUUACAAUGCAAAAUCAAGGAAACAAUAAAAACAAGGGCGGGCCACAUUAAUAUUAAGUUAAAACUCGGGGUGAGAAAGACAUAAGAAUAAAACCACAAAGAACAGGGUCAUAAGAUAGUGGUGCAGUCUAGAGGAUAGAUAUUAGAAGGGAGCAACGAAAAAGAAAUAUAAAGUAGUUACUCUCCAAAAGCACAACGGAAGAGCCAUGUUUUCAAGUCUUUCUUGAAGGCUACUAAUGUGGGGGCUUGCCUAAUCUCAAUGGGCAGUGAGUUCCACAAUCGGGGGGCCACAGCAGAGAAGGCCCUCUCCCUUGUUCCCACAAGGCAGGCCUGAGAUAUCGGCAGUGGCGACAGGAGAGCCUCCCCUGAUGAUCGAAGGGAUCGGGCAGGUUUAUGAUAGGAGAUACGGUCACGAAGGUAGGUGGGUCCCAAACCCACCUACCUUCAUUAAUGUGUAAUGAACUACUUUUUCAGUCAAAUUUGUUGUAUAACAUGAUGUUUUGGUGCAUAAUUUGUAAAAUCAUAACCUACGUAUUUUGAUGUUUCAUAGGCUUUUUCUUAAUCUCUCCUUAUUAUCCAACAUAUUCGCUUAUCCAACGUUCUGCUGGCCCGUUUAUGUUGGAUAAGUGAGACUCUACUGUAUAUGAGUCCACAGAGCACAGUGGGUUUAACUGCUGAGCUGCUAAAAUUGCUGACCAAAAAGCUGGCAGUUCGAAUCCGUGGAAGCCGGUGAGCUCCCGCUGCUAGCACCAGCUUCUGCCAACCUAGCAGUUUGAAAACAUGCAAAUGUGAGUAGAUCAAUAGGUACCGCUCCUAUUGGCGGGAAGGUAACAGCGCUCCAUGCAGUCAUGCCAGCCACAUGACCUUGGAGGUGUCUACGGACAAUGCCGGCUCUUUGGAGAUGAUCACCAACCACUAAUGCCUUGAAAGAUCUCUCCAGCUACUACAAAGAGAACCACCUGAAGCCUAACUCUCCCAAGACACAAGUGUGUGCUUUCCACCUACGUAACUGUGAAGCCAACAGGAAACUGAAAGUUACUUGGGAAAGCCAAGAGCUCGAACACUGUUUCCAUCCUAAAUACCUUGGUGUCACCUUAGAUCGAACACUAACAGAUAGGAAACACUGCAUGAACACCAAGCACAAAGUAGCUGCAUGCAACAACAUCCUGUGGAAACUUACUGGCAGCGCAUGGGGUGCAGACCCACAAGUAAUAAGAACAUCAGCCCUGGCCUUGUCUUUCUCAACUGCUGAGUAUGCCUGCCCUGUCUGGCACAAGUCUGCCCAUGCGAAGCAGGUGGACAUAGCACUGAACGAAACAUGCAGAAUAAUCAGAGGAUGCCUUAAACCUACACCUGUUGAUAAACUCUGCAAGGUAGCUGGCAUUGCCCCUCCUGACGUGCGACGGGAAGUUGCUGCUAACGGUGAGGGAAAUAAGGUCGAACUUUGUGAAAGCCACCCACUGCAUGACUAUCAGCCUCCUCCCACCAGGUUCAAAUCAAGGAAGGGCUUCAUGAGAACUACCACUCCUCUUGAUGUUCUUCUAGCAACAGCAAGGGUGUCCCUCUGGGCAGCUAAACCAGGCAAUCCCAACUGGAUGGCCCCCCAUGAGGGUCUUCCUCCAGGGGCAAACCAAGAAUGGGCAACUUGGAAGUCCCUGAACAGACUGAGAAGCGGAGUGGGCAGAUCAAAAGACAACUUGGCAAGGUGGCACUACCUGGAGGUGACCUUGUGUGACUGUGGAGCAGAACAAACAACUCCGCAUAUGUAUGCUUGCCCACCAUGCCCUGCCUCAUGCACAGAGGAGGAGUUGUUCAAAGCCAUGGACAAUGUGGUCGCUGUUGCCCACUUUUGGUCUAAAACUAUUUAGCUGCUUGUGAUUUCCUUUAUUUUAUCACUUUUAAACUUAUUUACUAUGCAAUGCUUUUGACACGAAAUAAAUAAAUAAAGCACCAACCAGCAUGAAGUCAGCACAACUAGACUUAAUGUCAGGGUGAAACCUUUCCCCUGAUGUUAAGUCCAGUCAUGUCUGACUCUGGGGGUUGGUGCUCAUCUCCAUUUCUAAGCCGAAGAGCCAGCGUUGUCUGUAGACACCUCCAAGGUCAUGUGGCUGGCAUGACUGCAUGGAGCGCCUUUACCUAUAUGAGUCUGAUAAUCUCGGAUAAACAGAAAACCUGGGAUCAGACCCUGGAUAUAGGGCCUGUCUGGAAAGGGCCUAAAAGUGCGUUUUCUAUAAUAAUGCUACAUCCUAAACCAGUGGUUUUCAACCUGUGGGUUCUUAUCAGUUCAUCAGUAAAUUGACUGAAAUCAACAAAAAUUAAUGCUAAAAUAAAUAUUAAAGGUACCACUUGAUUCCUUCCUUACUUUCUUACUUUAUACAUGGUCAUUUUGUUUGAGCUUGACCUUGUAAAAAUGGUACCUAAGCAUAGGAUAUGGAGCAUAGGGAAAAACUAUUGGGAACAAAUCCAUUUCCAGUAUUCCUAGGAUACUGCAGUAGAUAAAGAUACAAUGAUAACAAUUGUAAACCUGUUGCAUGGUGAAUGGUGCAAACAGUAUAAUAUUUGAAGGUGUAGAUUUGGCACUAACCUGAUCAAUUUGUACACUUCCAGAGUCUGUGGUGUACAAUUUUAAAGAAUUUGCAUGUUGUCAAAAGUGCUGCAAAGGUUGCAAUCUGAGGCUUCAUCAUCAGACAAACAGAGGAAUUAUUGCUAGUGGGUAGGAACCUGGGGUAGUGGAGAAGUACUGUAUGAUUCUGCACCAGCUGAAGAGCAGGGAAGAAAAAUCUAUAUACUGAUAUAUAUAUUUGGAUCUGAAAUAUAGUCACUGACUAUGCAAAGGUUUCACUGCAAAGGCAAUGGGAAAGUAGGGGCUUGGGAGACUGGGACUCAGAACAUGUACUGCAUCACCAUCAUUUUCUUUUUCACUUCCUCAUGCUUCCUCUUCAGCCAGGUUUAGGGACAACACUCUUCAUCCGUUGCCUUUUUGCUCAUGAUUCUACCUGUCUCUUUUCGUUAUUUGCAGAUCAUUCAUGGCUAUCGGACCCACUCCCCAUGCAUGUCAACGGGGAGAUCUACCCUACGAGCUGUAAUCAAGACACUUAUUAUUGCUCCUCUUUGGAGUCACUAAUCAGCAAAAAAGGAACCUACCUGGGGGAUAGAUUGACAGGGUUCAUUCUUUCCUGAUGCUGUUCAAUAAAAACAAUCACUUCUUUCUGUUGUCGAAACCCCAGGACCUCAGAAGACCGCAAAAGCCAUAGCCAAAGAAGAUGCCAGCAAGGCAAAGCCUAAAGUGACCCAGAAGGAUACCGUGGUCUACAGUAUCGAAGGCUGCUGAGAGAUCCAGGAGAACCAACAGGGACACACUCCCCCUGUCGAGCUCUCUGCGGAGAUCAUCCACCAAGGAGACCAAGGCCAUCUCAGUUCCAUGCCCUUGAUGGGACAAAUAGUGGCCAUUUCAAACUGAUAUCCAAAAUCAAGGGAGCAAGAUGUGGCACUGUUCCGCUGUUUCACCACAUAGCAAAGGCCCCUCUUUGGAUUGGUGCAAUGAACCUCUUCCUGUCUUUUUGUGGGAGCCAAAGGCAUCAGCAGCUGGUUGGAGACACAGGGCCGGAAGGGCAGGCCCCAUUAAGGAGGAUGCUGCUUCGGAAACAUUGUGCUUCCUUCCCUGCCCUUUGCCGUAUGAUCUCAGGGUGGCAAACCAGGAAAAACCAAGAGGUGAAAGCCAUUGAAAAGAAUCAGGUAAAGGUAAAGGUUUUCCGCUGA
Anolis carolinensis (green anole) is the source of this 4394-nucleotide long non-coding RNA. RefSeq lists it as uncharacterized. The transcript has 4 exons. The record is from RefSeq and is a predicted model, not a curated record. NCBI's taxonomy places the organism in Eukaryota, Metazoa, Chordata, Lepidosauria, Squamata, Anolidae.